AUGGCAGCGAAGGGGAGACCAAACCCCGCGUGGCCUCACCGUGGGGCACCGGGGAGCCCCCACAGCCCAAAUAUUGAUGGUGCCAACACUGGGCAGUGCCACAGCUCCUGGGCGCCUCCUUCUCCUGCUACAGCCACUUCCAAGCUGCUGCAAAAAACCCUUACAAAUACAUUAACAGCUCUUUGCACUUGGCUCCUUUCUCAGCCUGCAGGUCCCGAGGGAGCCCGUGCUCGAGGCCUGCCCGGCCGUGGCAGCAAAGGAGCCGGCGCUCAGCUCUGUCACAUCGCCGUUACCGGGGCCGGGCACACCAUGAACUCCGAGCAGCGGCCCCGUUAGCCGACCUGGUUCUUUUUGUGUCCUCUGAUGCACUUUGGGCUUUUGCGGAAGACCAAAUGGGGCUUCUCGAGGUGAUUAUGGCACCUUUUGGCUCCAGCCGGCCUGCUAAAAUGUGGGGCCCUGCAGCUUGUUUCUUUUUGGAGUAGAACUUAACGACAGCUUCUUUUUGUCCAUAGCUCUGCCUCCUGGAACAAGGGGAGGAAGCAAAGGGCAGGGACAAGCUCCUGACCCCAUGUCACUGCCCUCUUUUUGCCAUUGCCCAGUGGUAAGGCUUGGGGUCCCCACGGCCUGGGGGACACCAGGGCUGUCCCCACCCUUCCUCUGCUGUCUGACUCCGUCCCAGCCGUUCCCCGUCCCGUGCUUCCAAACCCCAAAGCACAGCAUGCCCCGUGGCUUCAGCGCAUUUUAAUCCAGACCGUGAUAAUGUGAUGGCAGCAGCCACAUCCAGGUGCCCUGACAGCAUCCAGGCUACCCCGUGCUGCGUGGGGCGCAGUCAGAGAGCAGCGGUGCUCUGCGGAGCUGCAGCUGGGGCAAGGCCGGGUCUGGGAGCUUAUCGGUGGCCCUAUACAUGCAAAACUGGAAACGUGAAGGAUUUCCGUGUUCCUCAGCAGUGCCGACCGGAGGCAGCGCUUCCUGCACACCAGAAGGGCUGGCAUCAUGAAACCGAGAAGCAAUUAGAGGGAAGUGAUUGCAUUAUACAAAUAAACCUUCCCUGCCGAUGUUUUUGGCA
Molecule: long non-coding RNA, 1066 nt
Filed under: Anser cygnoides (Swan goose)
Lineage: Eukaryota; Metazoa; Chordata; Aves; Anseriformes; Anatidae
Description: lncRNA (ENSACDG00005009106.1)
Source: RNAcentral